UACAGAGGGUGCAAGCGUUAAUCGGAAUUACUGGGCGUAAAGCGUGCGUAGACGGUUAUGUAAGUCAGAUGUGAAAGCCCCCGGGCUUAACCUGGGAAUGGCAUUUGAGACUGCAUAGCUAGGGUGCGGAAGAGGGAAGCGGAAUUUCCGGUGUAGCGGUGAAAUGCGUAGAUAUCGGAAGGAACACCAGUGGCGAAAGGCGGCU
Molecule: ribosomal RNA, 205 nt
Filed under: uncultured bacterium
Lineage: Bacteria
Description: partial 16S ribosomal RNA
Rfam family: Bacterial small subunit ribosomal RNA
Source: RNAcentral